GACGAACGCUGGCGGCGUGCUUAACACAUGCAAGUCGAACGGAAAGGCCCUGCUUUUGUGGGGUGCUCGAGUGGCGAACGGGUAAGUAACAAGUGAGUAACCUGCCCUUGACUUUGGGAUAACUUCAGGAAACUGGGGCUAAUACCGGAUAGGAGCUCCUGCUGCAUGGUGGGGGUUGGAAAGUUUCGGCGGUUGGGGAUGGACUCGCGGCUUAUCAGCUUGUUGGUGGGGUAGUGGCUUACCAAGGCUUUGACGGGUAGCCGGCCUGAGAGGGUGACCGGCCACAUUGGGACUGAGAUACGGCCCAGACUCCUACGGGAGGCAGCAGUGGGGAAUAUUGCACAAUGGGCGGAAGCCUGAUGCAGCAACGCCGCGUGCGGGAUGACGGCCUUCGGGUUGUAAACCGCUUUCGCCUGUGACGAAGCGUGAGUGACGGUAAUGGGUAAAGAAGCACCGGCUAACUACGUG
Molecule: ribosomal RNA, 468 nt
Filed under: uncultured bacterium
Lineage: Bacteria
Description: partial 16S ribosomal RNA
Rfam family: Bacterial small subunit ribosomal RNA
Source: RNAcentral